Notothenia coriiceps (black rockcod) is the source of this 1316-nucleotide long non-coding RNA. RefSeq lists it as uncharacterized. Lineage: Eukaryota; Metazoa; Chordata; Actinopteri; Perciformes; Nototheniidae. The transcript has 3 exons. The record is from RefSeq and is a predicted model, not a curated record.
GAACAUUUCUCAUAGGUAUAUACGUAAUUACUGGACAAAAACACUAACAUAAACAAUGUAAAAAUCCAUAAAAUAUAUAUAACGCUUUCCUGAACGUCUUUAGGUAGUUUGGAGAAAAACAUCAGUAGGUUAACACCUAGAAAGGUGGAAUAACCCCCCCACCCCAACCUCUCCCGACCCGCAUUUACAUGAUUUUUUCCUUUCUUAUUUCUAUACAGUUUAAAUAUGAACACCAUAGGACAUACACUCCUCAAAUAGCUUUCCCUCCCGCCUCGUGUGUGUACGCACGUUAAUUGAAGGUAUAAUACACACAACACGUUUACAAAUAAGUAGAAAAAAGGAUGGUCGAGUCCUUAAGCUUCAAAAUAAGUGCCUGACAGACAGGAAGUACAUUUGACAAAAAUAAAAACUAGAAUAAGAAGUGAGGUGGUGUUCUCGAAAUGCAACAAAACAUGGGGCGUGUUACUAAUUGACGUAUACUGCAAAAUACAACACCACCCCCUCUCACAUUUUAAGCUUGUGUUUCUCUUUUUUAUGUUUCUAAUUUGUAGAUGUUUUUUUCCAACAGUCACGUGGUUGCUUCACGAGUCUCUUACGAAUGAUUUCCCAAUGUUGAGACCACACAAAGCGUUGGAAACAUUUCACGAGGGAUCCAAAAAGGAUUCCUCUCCCCGUCCUCCUGUCCUGUAAAAGUUUCACCACUGCUCAGGACGCUCCGCUUCCUCUCCACUUUGUGGGAACGGGAAGCAGCAGCAUUGUGUUGGAGCUGCCUGUGGUUUAAUCAUUAAUGAGCACAGUCGGGGCAGGACAGGCAUCUCUCCAGCCUGGGACUCACAGGACGGUGUGUUGCAGUCAGGAGGAGCGGAGUGGCACGCGGUACCGAGCGGCGGAGAGGAGGGCGGACUCGGGGUCUGAGACUGGACGCUGUGUCCCAAACAUCCCGUCCGAUGGGACGGUGAGACGGAGAGAAAGAUAGUGGAUGAAAGACAGAUAGACAGACAGAUAGACAGACAGACAGACAGACAGACAGACAGACAGACAGACAGACAGACAGACAGACAGACAGACAGACAGACAGACAGACAGACAUACGUGGCCAACUCAAAGGGACCGAGUCACCUUCUCUGACGCAUACUGUCAAUGCGCUCUGCUUUUCGUCCCUUUCCGUAGGCCUCCAUGACAACAGAAGGCACAUGUCGCUUUACAGUUGGCCCUUUCUUACCCUUGUUUUAUGGCCUUUUUCGGAAAAGCGUACGUUUGUAACGACCAUUAUGAAGUAAGUCGACGAAGAUGUUGCUUUAUAGGACUGAGAUCGA